RNAcentral lists this ribosomal RNA (262 nucleotides) under uncultured bacterium. RNAcentral describes it as "partial small subunit ribosomal RNA". It matches the Rfam family "Bacterial small subunit ribosomal RNA", at positions 26 to 291 of the family's 1533-position model. The record is from RNAcentral.
AGGACGAACGCUGGCGGCGUGCUUAACACAUGCAAGUCAAGGGGGCUCGUAGCAAUACGGGCAACCGGCGAACGGGUGCGUAACACGUGAGCAACCUACCGAGAUGUGGGGGAUAGCCGGCCCAACGGCCGGGUAAUACCGCAUACGAUUGCUUGGGGGAGUCCCCGGGCAAGGAAACCCGCAAGGGGCAUUUCGAGGGGCUCGCGGCCUAUCAGCUAGUUGGCGGGGUAAUGGCCCACCAAGGCAUCGACGGGUAGCUGGU